Molecule: ribosomal RNA, 524 nt
Filed under: Clostridioides difficile
Lineage: Bacteria; Bacillati; Bacillota; Clostridia; Peptostreptococcales; Peptostreptococcaceae
Description: partial 23S ribosomal RNA
Rfam family: Bacterial large subunit ribosomal RNA
Source: RNAcentral
CCUGUGGGAAGCAGGAGGGACCACCCUCCAAGGCUAAAUACUACCUAGUGACCGAUAGCGUAUAGUACCGUGAGGGAAAGGUGAAAAGAACCCCGGGAGGGGAGGGAAAUAGAACCUGAAACCCUGCACUUACAAGCUGUGGAAGCACAUUUCUUGUGUGACCGCGUACUUUUUGUAGAACGGGCCAACGAGUUACGUUAAGUAGCAAGGUUAAGCACUUAAGGUGCGGAGCCGUAGCGAAAGCGAGUUUUAACUGAGCGUUCAGUUACUUGACGUAGACCCGAAACCGGGCGACCUACCCAUGAGCAGGAUGAAGCGAAAGUAAAAUUUCGUGGAGGUCCGAACCCACGAGCGUUGAAAAGCUCGGGGAUGACUUGUGGGUAGCGGUGAAAUUCCAAUCGAGCCCGGAGAUAGCUGGUUCUCCCCGAAAUAGCUUUAGGGCUAGCCUCAAGGUGAGAGAUACGGAGGUAGAGCACUGAAUGUCCUAGGGGGUAUUGCACCUACCGAAGACUAUCAAACUCCGA